UGCAAGUCGAACGGUAACGAUGGAAGCUUGCUUCCAGGCGACGAGUGGCGGACGGGUGAGUACAACUUAGGAAUCUGCCCAGUAGUGGGGGACAACUCGGGGAAACCCGAGCUAAUACCGCAUACGCCCUACGGGGGAAAGUGGGGGCCUUCGGGCCUCACGCUAUUGGAUGAGCCUAAGCCGGAUUAGCUUGUUGGUGAGGUAAAAGCUCACCAAGGCAACGAUCCGUAGCUGGUCUGAGAGGACGAUCAGCCACACUGGGACUGAGACACGGCCCAGACUCCUACGGGAGGCAGCAGUGGGGAAUAUUGGACAAUGGGGGCAACCCUGAUCCAGCAAUGCCGCGUGUGUGAAGAAGGCCUGCGGGUUGUAAAGCACUUUCAGUAGGGAAGAAAAGCAUAGGGUUAAUACCCCUGUGUAUUGACGUUACCUACACAAGAAGCACCGGCUAACUCCGUGCCAGCAGCCGCGGUAAUACG
RNAcentral lists this ribosomal RNA (479 nucleotides) under uncultured bacterium. RNAcentral describes it as "bacterial SSU rRNA". It matches the Rfam family "Bacterial small subunit ribosomal RNA", at positions 56 to 527 of the family's 1533-position model. The record is from RNAcentral.